AGGGGAGGACCUAAUACACCAGUUAAAUUAUUUAGGACCGGCCAUGUCUUAUUGAUCAUUUGAAACAUCCGACAUGUGUUCUUUCAGGUCGAAGCAGUGAAGUGUUCGGAACUUCGAAGCGCCAGCAGACUGGUCACUGGAGUCGUUCUGAGCCAGUACCAGCGUGACGCCUCGGCAGGUGGUGGCGCAGCGAAACUCUCACCGUGUGUGGGAGCAGGAUAAAAGGAUUAUCCAGGUGUUAUUAGCAGCCUUCAAAACUUCAGGCUUAACUAACGGGCACUUGACUACUCCACCUUAUCCAUGAGGACGAGGAUCUGAGGGAAGCUCCGAAGCACCCACUCCAGACCAGCUGAUGUGAUAGCCCCCCAGGGUUUGAAGACUGUGGUCGUUUGUGCCGGGAGAAGAGAGCAAGUCGCUUCCGUCCAUGGGCAGAGGCAGAAUCUUCAUCAUCAUCAUCAGGCAACCCAGGCAAAUAUGGCUUGUUUUCAAUGGACCCACCAAGCUUCAACCACUUUAUAACACAUGUUGAAGUCAUUCAUAUCAGUGAUGCUCAGCACCUCAGCACUACUACUACCCUGCACUGUAAUCCUACAAACACAGUACUUGUAUUUUAAGUAAUAAAAUUUUAUAACUGA
Molecule: long non-coding RNA, 635 nt
Organism: Scylla paramamosain (green mud crab)
Lineage: Eukaryota; Metazoa; Arthropoda; Malacostraca; Decapoda; Portunidae
Exons: 4
Source: RefSeq, a predicted model, not a curated record